UGGGGCUGGUCACAGUGACCCAAGGCCAUGGAGCUGGUCACAGUGACCCAAGGCCGUGGAGCUGGUCACAGUGACCCAAGGCCGUGGAGCUGGUCACAGUGACCCAAGGCCGUGGAGCUGGUCACAGUGACCCAAGGCCGUGGAGCUGGUCACAGUGACCCAAGGUCGUGGAGCUGGUCACAGUGACCCAAGGCCGUGGAGCUGGUCACAGUGACCCAAGGCCGUGGAGCUGGUCACAGUGACCCAAGGCCGUGGAGCUGGUCACAGUGAAAUCUAUACUGUGAGCGACAAAUUAUGUCACUGUAACAAUGAAUGGUCAGUGAAGACGUUUUGCCAACCAGUGGCUUUAUCAGUGCAAUUCUGAGAUGUUCGAAAGAAUGUCGAAAACAUAAUGGAUGCAGGGAAAAAUCCAAAGAGUGGAACUAUCAUCAAUUGCUCCAAACUUAGCAGACCUUUGUACUGAAAUGCAGGCCCAUCCAUCUCACUGGCAGGUUAUGAAGCACCCAAAGGCUGAAGGAAGCUAUUAGUAAAAGGGAGUAGCAUGACAGAGAAGGUAGAAGGCCAAAUGCUGCUCGGUUACUUGGGGUACCACUCUGAGGACUGCUGGAUGUACAUGUCUCUGGGCCAGCCUGGGCAUGAAGAAGACGAGCUUUAAUGUAUUUAGUGCAUGGUGCAAAAGUAAUCGUCUUGCCAACAAGACCCUUCUGCCCCAGGGUGCUGCUAGGGCAACCUCUAAAGAGGUGUGGGCUUUACUUCCCAAGUAGGCCAUCCCAACCCAAUGGAUGGGUGCAGGAACAGAGCUACCUCACUUUACCGACCUAGCAUCUGUGACCUGCCUACCCAGAAUAAUGAAGGCAGACAUCAAUCAGUUUCCCUAAAUAAUAAAUUCUGAGAAGGUCUACAAUGAAUGUAGGGAUUAAAAAAAAUGGAGGGGGAGGAGCAAGAAGAGAGCAUCCUGGUGCUUAAAGAAAAAAUGAAUUCUACAUCCACUUGAUCAAUUAUGCAAUUAAUCGAAAGGUUUUCUAUUGUUAAAACCUGACAAGCUGCACAGUGAGGGGUACCAGGUGUUUCUCCAUUUCACAGCUAUGUGCAAGUCAACUUAAUAUCUACUCACAGCAACGCUUUUGCAAAGUAUAAUGGGCAGUAAAUCACUUGUUAAAAAGGUCAUAAAUUACCUCUGUGCUUGUACAAAUCAGUGCAACAGUGUUUGCAUUGACAAAGCUGAAACCCCUUGACCCUCAAUCAAACCUUUGCCUAUUCUACCAAAUCCAGGUUUGCAAUGGGUAAAGGCAAGAAACCCACAUUAAAUAAAAACUUAUUGUAAAGUCGACUAGACAAAGAAAAGAUAGUGUAAAAAACACCCUACUUGAGGACACACAAGAUUUAUUAUACCUGGAGGAGGUUUCAGGGGUCAUUGCCUCUGCAGCCUGGUCUGUGACCAAGCCCCAUGAUGGACCAGGGCCUGAUCAGCCAGGCUGUUACUGUUGGCCACAUAUAAACUGAUGUAUGAACCACAGCCCAGCUGGUCAUGUACUGACUUCAUGUGCCUGUCCAGUGCCUUCACAAAAAAAUGCUGAAAACCCACAAACCACGAAAUGCAAAGCUAGGCUAAAUGCUCUCAAAGCUGUUGCUGGCUACAAUCCCAACUAUGGUGCUAAUGUGAGAAUCGUGAGAAUGAUGUACAUAGCCUAUGUUAGGUCCUUAAUUGAUUAUGCUGCUCCCAUGUUGAUAUUAGCUAGAGAAAGUUCUCUCCGACCCUUGGAGUUAAUGCAAAAUGAAGCUCUCAGGAUUAUUCUUGGCUGUCCCAGAUCUACAAAAGUUCUUAACAUGAGGAAGGAGCUUGGUAUUUCUAGUAUCAGUGAUAGGAUUGUUCAGAUUAACACUGUACUCAGUAUUAGAAUGUUGAGAAACAAACCAGACAUUGUCACAAUGAAUCUUACCAAGUGUCUAGAGGUAAAUACACACAGAUCUAAAUGGAUUGUGAAAACGUGCAAUUGCAUUAAGUUUUAUAACCUGCAUGAACUGUAUCACUGUAGGCAACAAGAGCAUUUCACCCCUCCGUGGAAAGAUGUGUUCAUUUAAUAUCACAUACCUACAAGUCCCUCCCAAGGAGCUCAUUGCUAGUAAUCCCUUCCUUAAAUCUCUUGUUAGAGCAACUGCUCAAGAAGAAAUUUCUCACCUAGCUGGUAGUAAUAAGUUAUCACAAGUUAUAUACACUGAUGGAUCUAAACAGUUUUCUGGCAGGGCUGCAUCUACUCGUUGCCACCUCCCUAGUUAAGAACGAUAAUAAAUUUGAGUUAGGCAUAAGAAUUAACAACUGGGCGUCUACACUGCAAACUGAAUUGUUUGCAAUCCUAAUGGCGCUAAAGCUAACCUACGACACUGAGCUUGACUAUCAUUACUGAUUCUAUGUCAUCAUUGAAGGCUCUUGACUCAUAUAAUGACUCCAACAACAUGCUCAUUGGAGAAGCCAGGUAUAGAUACUCAAAAAUUAGGGACAAAGGAAUUAAUGUACAAUUGCUAUGGAUCCCAUCACACAUUGGAUUACUCCUUCAUGAUAAAGUUGAUAUGUUAGCCAAGAAGAGUACCCAGAAGGAGAAUGUAGAAUAUAACUUUGGUAUAACUGUGUUUAGCAUUAGGAAUAAUAUUAGGAGAGAAACAAAUAAUGAAAAUGAUUGUUAUAGGAAUGCAGUUAGAAGCCUGAGUAGAUCUAUAACCCACUAUGAUAACAUGAAUGUAGAUAAGUAUGUUUAUGGAGCAACUUGCAAUGUGAACAGACUGACUGAUGUUGUAGUGGCCAGGCUUAGGCUUGGUUACAAGUACUUCUGGCAGUUUGGGAGACACACAGAUGAUGAUC
Long non-coding RNA from Cherax quadricarinatus, 2857 nucleotides. RefSeq lists it as uncharacterized. The record is from RefSeq and is a predicted model, not a curated record. Lineage: Eukaryota; Metazoa; Arthropoda; Malacostraca; Decapoda; Parastacidae.